GCGAACUGGUGAGUAACACGUGGGUAACCUUCCCUUGAAGUAGGGGAUAACACUUGGAAACAGGUGCUAUUACCGUAUAACAACCAAACCGAAUGGUGUUUGGUUUAAAAGAUGGCUUCGGCUAUCACUUUAGGAUGGACCCGCGGCGUAUUAGCUUGUUGGUAAGGUAAUGGCUUACCAAGGCAAUGAUACGUAGCCGACCUGAGACGGUAAUCGGCCACAUUGGGACUGAGACACGGCCCAAACUCCUACGCGAGGCAGCAGUAGGGAAUCUUCCACAAUGGACGAAAGUCUGAUGGAGCAACGCCGCGUGAGUGAUGAAGGGUUUCGGCUCGUAAAACUCU
RNAcentral lists this ribosomal RNA (344 nucleotides) under Lentilactobacillus kefiri. RNAcentral's name for it is "bacterial SSU rRNA". It matches the Rfam family "Bacterial small subunit ribosomal RNA", at positions 98 to 434 of the family's 1533-position model. The record is from RNAcentral. Lineage: Bacteria; Bacillati; Bacillota; Bacilli; Lactobacillales; Lactobacillaceae.